Molecule: unclassified non-coding RNA, 345 nt
Filed under: soil metagenome
Description: partial contains 5.8S ribosomal RNA, internal transcribed spacer 2, and large subunit ribosomal RNA
Rfam family: 5.8S ribosomal RNA (bases 1-120)
Source: RNAcentral
GAUGAAGAACGCAGUGAAAUGCGAUACGUAAUGUGAAUUGCAGAAUUCAGUGAAUCAUCGAGUCUUUGAACGCACAUUGCGCCCCCUGGUAUUCCGGGGGGCAUGCCUGUCCGAGCGUCAUUGCUGCCCUCAAGCACGGCUUGUGUGUUGGGCCUCCGUCCUCCUCCCGGGGGACGGGCCCGAAAGGCAGCGGCGGCACCGCGUCCGGUCCUCGAGCGUAUGGGGCUUCGUCACCCGCUCUUGUAGGCCCGGCCGGCGCUUGCCGACACAUCAAUCUUUUUUCCAGGUUGACCUCGGAUCAGGUAGGAAUACCCGCUGAACUUAAGCAUAUCAAUAAGCGGAGGA